CGGAGGGGACCUCAAGCGCCGGUGAAGCCCCAGGAGCGCAGCGCAGCGCAGCGCAGCGGUGUCCAUAGGCUGCAAAAGAAUCAUUUGUUGUACAUUGAAAAGAAAACACGUUAGGGAAAGAAGAAUAGAAUGGAAAUGGAAGGAUUCCCUCCACCACCACCCCCUGAAGUUUUAGGAAAUGACGUGCCAAUCACUGCUGCUAAUGAAGAAGAGGACGAAGAAGGAGAACAGUUUGACUUUGAUAGCGGAG
Thamnophis sirtalis is the source of this 250-nucleotide non-coding RNA. The record is from RefSeq and is a predicted model, not a curated record. Lineage: Eukaryota; Metazoa; Chordata; Lepidosauria; Squamata; Natricidae.